UUAUGCAUCCAACCAAUUCGUGCAUCCGUGCAUCCAAAUCGUUUUUGACCGGUUGAUUAAAAUCAUAGCGUUGGAGAAACUUCAGGUGCAAUAUUCCGAAAACACGCCCGCUGCCUUCGUAAGUUAUGCCUGCAAAUUUACACACGCACCCCUAUCGUUGACACAGAUACCCGAUUCCCACGUCUUCCCUGGCGAUCAACUGCAGUUGCUGGUUUCGACGACCAUGGCGGCGACCCGCGGCUAGAGAUGCAGAAAUCGUCGUGCAGCCGGAACUUUGACGGACACAGAUCCCUGCGACUGUUGGCUUCAGCCCGUUCUUGCGGCACACCGGAUCGACGUGCCGAUCUACUGACGCCGCUGAUCGAUCGUGUUCUUUCCGGCGAGCAAUGGAAUCUAUCAACACCUUGCAAAAUCAGUUUAACGAGGAAGGAUUUAUCACACCCAUAAAGGCAUCAAAUGUUUCUCUCUCUUGCUCGUGUUUUACACCUGAAUGUGAAGAUAAUUUGGAGCCUAAAGUAGGGAUGACAUUUGAGGAACUAGAGGCUGUGGAGAAAUUCUACAAGAUUUAAUCCAGGCAGCAAAACAAUCAGAUGAGGCAUAGAUUUUUUACUAUCAAGUGUGUUGAGUAUUGAGGAACCUCUGAAUCAAAAGGUUCCUGCAGCAGUGAAGCACACUAGGCAAGAGGAAUAUGAGGCAUUUAUUGGAUGCAAUAUUCCUACUGAAGUAAACAUACACCCUUCAAGUGAUGUUCGUUCAGUUGGGAGAAGCAAAAGAAUAAAGAGAGGAAUGGAGAUGAAUGGGGAAGGACAGAAAAAAGAAGAAAAAACAAGCCAAGGCCAAGGUCUCACCCAUGUGCAGAACAUGUAACCAAAUAGGGUUUCAUGAUUGUCGCAAGCGCCCAAGCAAAAAUAUUCAUGCCCAAGAAGCCAUGAAUGUGCAAGACGAGCACUUAGCUGGUGCAUCAUGAGAGCUGCAAUUAUUCCAAGAAAAACAUGGCUUAUAAAUAGUACUACUUUAUGAAAAUGUCUGAAAUUAUGUAA
Long non-coding RNA from Lolium rigidum, 1040 nucleotides. RefSeq lists it as uncharacterized. Lineage: Eukaryota; Viridiplantae; Streptophyta; Magnoliopsida; Poales; Poaceae. The transcript has 3 exons. The record is from RefSeq and is a predicted model, not a curated record.